RNAcentral lists this ribosomal RNA (406 nucleotides) under uncultured bacterium. RNAcentral describes it as "partial 16S ribosomal RNA". It matches the Rfam family "Bacterial small subunit ribosomal RNA", at positions 28 to 526 of the family's 1533-position model. The record is from RNAcentral.
GACGAACGCUGGCGGCGUGCUUAACACAUGCAAGUCGAACGAGUGGCGAACGGGUGAGUAACGCGUAUCAACCUGCACUUCAGCGGGGGAUAACUACUGGAAACGGUAGCUAAUACCGCAUCCCAUCGGAUGAGCCCAUAUGGGAUUAGCUCGUAGGGGGGGUAACGGCACACCUAGGCGACGAUCCCUAGCGGGUCUGAGAGGAUGACCAGCCACACUGUAACGGUGACACGGUCCAUACUCCUACGGGAGGCAGCAGUGGGGAAUAUUGCACAAUGGGCGCAAGCCGGCUGCAGCCAUUCCGCGUGUAUGAAGAAGGCCUUCGGGUUGUAAAGUACUUUCAGCGAGGAGGCGUUACUCACAGAAGAAGCACCGGCUAACUCCGGGCCAGCAGCCGCGGUAAUAC